GAUGAACGCUGGCGGCGUGCUUAACACAUGCAAGUCGAACGGAAAGGCUCCUGCUUGCAGGGGUACCCGAGUGGCGAACGGGUGAGUAACACGUGGGUGAUCUGCCCUGCACUUCGGGAUAAGCCUGGGAAACUGGGUCUAAUACCGGAUAGGACCACAUUUUGGAUGGUGUGGUGGAAAGUUUUUCGGUGUGGGAUGAGCUCGCGGCCUAUCAGCUUGUUGGUGGGGUAAUGGCCUACCAAGGCGUCGACGGGUAGCCGGCCUGAGAGGGUGUACGGCCACAUUGGGACUGAGAUACGGCCCAGACUCCUACGGGAGGCAGCAGUGGGGAAUAUUGCACAAUGGGCGCAAGCCUGAUGCAGCGACGCCGCGUGGGGGAUGACGGCCUUCGGGUUGUAAACUCCUUUCGCUAGGGACGAAGCGCAAGUGACGGUACCUGGAGAAGAAGCACCGGCUAACUACGUG
This 465-nucleotide ribosomal RNA is filed under the name uncultured bacterium. RNAcentral describes it as "partial 16S ribosomal RNA". It matches the Rfam family "Bacterial small subunit ribosomal RNA", at positions 28 to 507 of the family's 1533-position model. The record is from RNAcentral.